AUUAAAAAGCCACCUUUCGGCUUUACAGAUGCCUCCGUGGAACACGGAAUUAUGUAAUUGGACGAACAGUUACCACUUUUCCACACUCUUGCUACCCCAUGUUACUGCUGAGCAGACUACUGUUUUGCAGGCCUUCCUUAUUGCGUAAAUGGCUACAUUAUCACUGUGUACACAUUAGGACAAGCAAAUGGGCCCCUUAAGGCAAAUAAGGGUUCAAAUAACCCAGACAAGGUAGCACAACUGAAUUGAGGAUUCACCCUUCUUACAACCUUAUUGCUUUAUGGCACAUGAACUAACGGAAGGGACAGACUGCUUCAAGUGUGUUUCCUCUGAUCCUGUUGGCAAAUCAUAGCUUUAUUACAGUAAUGAGUCUGACCAUAUUUCUGUGCUUAUGCAUAUUAGGCACCAAAUGUAUUUUCUGGCCUGCCAGCCUGUGGUAGUAACUAACACGAGCAAUUUGUCCUGGGUUACAGUGUGUGUGCAUGCAUUAGGUAUGAACAUGUUAGUUGCUCUGGGUUAUAAAACACUACAUGUUUCAUCACGUGUAUUUUUAUGUGCACAACUUAACUAUAUGCAAAAUAGCCUGGCAAUUAACCAACACAACUUAUUAGUAGGCUACAAGAUUAUUCCAUAAUCUUGGGGAAAGCCACAAUUUCAAUUUAGCAAUAUUAAACAUUCCAUAGAAUUAUUAAAUACCUAAGGAAAAUGCUGAAUUUUUUUCCUCUAUAAGUGUUAAGAUUUUUAAAAAAUACCCUUAUUCUCCUCUCAAUUUCAUUUUCAUAACUCGGAAUGACUCCUUUUUAGGAGAAUUUGGGAUUUUAGACCGUGUAUUCCCCUAUACUCAUUGUGAGAUGAUAUUUGGCCUUUGACCACAACCAUUUUCAGGUAAAGGUAAAUGAUCAUUAUUGUAAUUGUUGCCUCAGGAUCAUAUUUUAUGUAUGCCAUUUAUUGGGUUCAUUAUUAUGAAAAAGUGACAUCAGCAUAAAUUUCAGCUCAACCAGUAAAAACAAUGUAUUUUUUUCCUUCCCUUUCUAUUGAUGAAGCAUAGGCCUGGUGCUGUUUGCUUGAUUGUAUAACUGUAUAGGAAGCAUACUAAUAAUUCAGGGGCUUACUUUAAAAGAACAUACAUGUGGAAAUACAUCCUCUUGCGCUCUUAAUUAAAAUUAGCUCUUUCUCUCACUCCCCUGCAAAAUAAAUCAAUAAAUAUAUAAACAAAAAGAAAUAAGUAGGUGAAUAAAGAAUUAGAAUCAGUCAAAAACCUCUGCUAACAGAAUUACCCUUGCUGCUUCCACACAGUUGUUUUAGGUUGUCAGAGAUUUACUUUUUUCCUCCAUUCGGGUUGGAUUUAUGCAAAUGACCACACAGGACA
Molecule: long non-coding RNA, 1369 nt
Filed under: Homo sapiens (human)
Lineage: Eukaryota; Metazoa; Chordata; Mammalia; Primates; Hominidae
Description: HSALNT0032060
Source: RNAcentral